UCUUAUCAAGAGAGGCGGAGGGACCUGCCCUGUGAAGCCCGACAACCUGCCCGGUCAUACCGCGGUAAGGUGUCAAUUCAGCGGAAUUUAUUUUCCGGCAGAUGAGA
RNAcentral lists this non-coding RNA (107 nucleotides) under bovine gut metagenome. Its description in RNAcentral is "SAM riboswitch (S box leader)". It matches the Rfam family "SAM riboswitch aptamer (S box leader)". From Rfam's summary of the family: The SAM riboswitch is found upstream of a number of genes which code for proteins involved in methionine or cysteine biosynthesis in Gram-positive bacteria. The SAM riboswitch acts at the level of transcription termination control. The record is from RNAcentral.